CCCCUAGAUGUUCUGGGCCGCACGCGCGCUACACUGAACAGUUCAACAAGUCUUAACCUUGGCCGAUAGGUCUGGGUAAUCUUUGAACGCUGUUCGUGAUUGGGAUAGACCUUUGCAAUUAUGGGUCUUCAACGAGGAAUUCCUAGUAAACGCAAGUCAUCAGCUUGCAUUGAUUACGUCCCUGCCCUUUGUACACACCGCCCGUCGCUCCUACCGAUUGAGCAAUCCGGUGAAUAUUUCGGACCGAGACCUGUCGGGGCAACUCGUUCAGGAUUUGGAAAGUCAAGUUAACCUUAUUGCUUAGAGGAAGGAGAAGUCGUAACA
This 324-nucleotide ribosomal RNA is filed under the name uncultured eukaryote. Its description in RNAcentral is "partial 18S ribosomal RNA". It matches the Rfam family "Eukaryotic small subunit ribosomal RNA", at positions 1470 to 1796 of the family's 1831-position model. The record is from RNAcentral.